UAGUGGCGCACGGGUGCUUAACGCGUAUGCAACCUACCUUCAAUUGGGGGAUAACUCUGGGAAACUGGAAUUAAUACCGCAUAAUAUAGUAAUGCUUCAUGGCAUAGCUAUUAAAGAUUUAUCGAUUGAAGAUGGGCAUGCGUGACAUUAGUUAGUUGGUGAGGUAACGGCUCACCAAGACUUCGAUGUCUAGGGGUUCUGAGAGGAUGAUCCCCCACACUGGUACUGAGAUACGGACCAGACUCCUACGGGAGGCAGCAGUAGGGAAUAUUGGUCAAUGGACGCAAGUCUGAACCAGCCAUGCCGCGUGCAGGACGAAGGCCCUCUGGGUUGUAAACUGCUUUUGUAUAGGAAGAAACGCUCCGACGUGUCGGAGUUUG
This 380-nucleotide ribosomal RNA is filed under the name uncultured Flexibacter sp. RNAcentral's name for it is "bacterial SSU rRNA". It matches the Rfam family "Bacterial small subunit ribosomal RNA", at positions 93 to 471 of the family's 1533-position model. The record is from RNAcentral. Lineage: Bacteria; Pseudomonadati; Bacteroidota; Cytophagia; Cytophagales; Flexibacteraceae.